CCAAACUUGGUCAUUUAGAGGAAGUAAAAGUCGUAACAAGGUCUCCGUUGGUGAACCAGCGGAGGGAUCAUUACCGAGUUUACAACUCCCAAACCCUUUGUGAACAUACCAUCGUUGCUUCGGCGGGAUCGCCCCGGCGCCUCUGCGCGCCGGAUCCAGGCGCCCGCCGGGGGCCCGAAACUCUUGUCUUCAAGCAGAAUUUCUUCUGAGUGAGCAAACAAAAUGAAUCAAAACUUUCAACAACGGAUCUCUUGGUUCUGGCAUCGAUGAAGAACGCAGC
This 280-nucleotide unclassified non-coding RNA is filed under the name uncultured fungus. Its description in RNAcentral is "partial contains small subunit ribosomal RNA, internal transcribed spacer 1, and 5.8S ribosomal RNA". The stretch from base 1 to 73 matches the Rfam family "Eukaryotic small subunit ribosomal RNA", at positions 1759 to 1831 of the family's 1831-position model. Lineage: Eukaryota; Fungi. The record is from RNAcentral.